Numida meleagris (helmeted guineafowl) is the source of this 2070-nucleotide long non-coding RNA. The record is from Ensembl. NCBI's taxonomy places the organism in Eukaryota, Metazoa, Chordata, Aves, Galliformes, Numididae.
UGUGAUUUUAUUUAUUAGUCUGGAAAACACAGCAGACAAUUUGUGAUGAUGUCAGCCAAUAUCAUAUAUGAAAAUUUUAACCAAAAUAUGUUUCAGACUGCUACUGUAAGAAGGUUGUGAUGGCAAUGUGUCAUCUUCACAAUAAAGCUCCUUCUCACAGUUCUUGGAGCAUAAAUGGUCACUUCACUCAAUUAAUUUCAGAAAUGAGGAAACUAAUGUUUUGUUUGCUCUUGUCUUGUAUUUGCAGGUAAUCUAAGCAGAGCAUAGUGGAAAAGUUUUUAGCAAAAUGAAAACUCCUUUAGAUAUUGGCAAAUGCAGUUUACAAAGCGUGAAAGAAGAAAUACUACGCUUACAGCGGGAUUUCAUGAUAUAAUCCCUGCUUAUUAUAGAGUAUCUCAGCCUGUCCUUCAAGGAGAGUAUCCUGUUGAAUGGCUGUCAAAGGACAAAACAAGAACCAACAGAUCUGAGCUGCAGAGAUUUACAUGUGAUCUGAUGGUGUGAUCUACGUCAGUUUAGCUGAAUUGUGCAAGCUCCCCAGUGGAAAUUUAAACAGGGAAGUAUGUGUCAACAGACCAGAAUUAAAAAGGUGACAAACUGUGAAGAAUUAAAACUUCUAAUUUAACAGAUGAGCAACUGCAAAUAACAGAAUCUCAGACAAACACUAUUUUAAUGAAAGGUGACAUGCCAGAGAUAAGAGGGUUUUUUUCCUCUCUCUUCAGCAGGUAACCACAAAUUAGUUUAGGAAACCAUACAAUAAUACUGUGAAUGCAGUAACAAAUUCAUAUCCUGUGCUGUUAGUUUUGUUUGCUUGUUUGCUUUCUGAAACCAUAUAUGACAUUUCUUUUGUAAUGGUAUAUUUUCUUCAUACUAGAAGUGUCAACAUUUGUUCAUGUCUGGAAUAGCUCUCAUUCUUAUUACUCUCAGGUCUAAGGCUUAUUUUUCUUCUCCUCCAUAGAGCUUUACAUUUUAGUACAGAGUGGUGGAGAGUGGCAGGUAGGCACUACAGCAGAUUUCUGAAGUUUUCUAGCAUUUUGAGAUACUUCACAGGUACAGUAGUGGUUAGAUAUUUGUUGGCCACUUGCUUGUAAUGAAAUUUUCCAGAGCAAUGUGAAUCAGAAGGAAAACUAAACAGGUAUGAAGCACUCUGAAAGGGCAAUUCUGCUGGUCAGCGUCACUUGGCUACCUCUCUAAGGAUCACAUUGAAAUAAGUUUUCAGAUAUAUGCAAUUAAACUCAAAUGAGUACAAAGGCUAAAUAACUUCAAAUUAGCAACAUACUAAGUUUAUUACACAGCAAAUGAUCAUGCAUUGUCAUACAUAAGAUCCUGAAAAUCACUCCUUUUGUCCUACUGUACUUUAGAAUGUAAAGCAUGACAAGAGGAGUUUUUUGUAAGUUAUAAUUUCAUGAAGAAAAUAACCAACAACUUGAUGCAAGAUCCAGAGAAUGAGAUUUCCAACUCUAUGACAGCUUACUAGGUGUCUUCAAGGUGUCACAGUCAGCCCUCAGCAUCACUUCCAGCUGCAGUCCUGAAUGUAUGGUGUAAAUGCCCCUCGUCAGCAUGCCCCAAGAUAAUUAUCUACCUACUCUCUACUCAUGUGCUUGAAAAUAAUCUUUAAUUUAUUUUCAUGUCUAUGGCAGAUGCCACAGUAAAUCAACCAGUGGGAGUCUCGUAUGCUCCUCUGCCCCACUGGGUAUUAAUGAGUUUUUCAUUUAAAUUUCAUUAGGGAAUGAUUUCAUGAAUUCAGUAUAUGGGACUUAUGGUUUAAAUUGUUUAGAAGUGGCACUUUGGCUCUGCAAAUGUAAAGUAUAUAUGACAGUGGGGUAUGUUUGGCUACAUAACACUCCUGUGAUUAAUUGGUCUAUAUUUUAUGUAAUAAUUUGAAUCUAAAGCAAAUGCCACAACUUGCAUUUUUCCACCCUGAAAAAUAGCAUGAACUAGCUAUGCCUUUCUAGACUGCAAGUAAAUUUAAUCAUAAGUGAGUCCGGUUUAUGUAUGUUUGGGGAAGAAGGACUUUCCCCCUCAGCAAUAUCCUAUAAUAAAUAAUGGAACUGGAAGGUCGUUUUGCUUAGA